GCCUUCGUGGUGUAGUGGCCAACACUCUGGGCUCGUAUUCGAGAGGUCCGUGGUUCGAGUCCCGGCGAGGCCU
Molecule: transfer RNA, 73 nt
Filed under: Stegodyphus mimosarum
Lineage: Eukaryota; Metazoa; Arthropoda; Arachnida; Araneae; Eresidae
Rfam family: tRNA
About the family: Transfer RNA (tRNA) molecules are approximately 80 nucleotides in length. Their secondary structure includes four short double-helical elements and three loops (D, anti-codon, and T loops). Further hydrogen bonds mediate the characteristic L-shaped molecular structure. tRNAs have two regions of fundamental functional importance: the anti-codon, which is responsible for specific mRNA codon recognition, and the 3' end, to which the tRNAs corresponding amino acid is attached (by aminoacyl-tRNA synthetases). tRNAs cope with the degeneracy of the genetic code in two manners: having more than one tRNA (with a specific anti-codon) for a particular amino acid; and 'wobble' base-pairing, i.e. permitting non-standard base-pairing at the 3rd anti-codon position.
Source: Rfam by way of RNAcentral